Molecule: ribosomal RNA, 787 nt
Filed under: uncultured Neocallimastigales
Lineage: Eukaryota; Fungi; Neocallimastigomycota; Neocallimastigomycetes; Neocallimastigales
Description: partial large subunit ribosomal RNA
Rfam family: Eukaryotic large subunit ribosomal RNA
Source: RNAcentral
CGCAUCUGUGCAUGCAGCAUAUCAAUAAGCGGAGGAAAAGAAACUAACAAGGAUUCCCUUAGUAACGGCGAGCGAAGCGGGAAGAGCUCAAAUUUGAAAUCUUCAAGGUUUUACCUUGACGAAUUGUAGUUUAAAGAAGUGUUUUCUGUUGAAGUUUUGGUAAAAGUUCUUUGGAAUAGGACAUCAUAGAGGGUGAGAAUCCCGUAUUUGACCAUUAUUUUCAGCUGUGUGAUACACUUUCAAAGAGUCGGAUUGUUUGGGAAUGCAGUCCAAAAUGGGUGGUAAAUUUCAUCUAAAGCUAAAUAUUGGCGAGAGACCGAUAGCGAACAAGUACCGUGAGGGAAAGAUGAAAAGAACUUUGAAAAGAGAGUUAAACAGUACGUGAAAUUGUCAAAAGGGAAGCGUUUGACACCAGUGUUGUUUUUCUGAAAAUCAAUUAAAAGACUGUUUAUGCUAGUUGUGUAUUAGACUUUAAUCAGCUACUGCAUUUAAGUUUUGAGCUUUUCUUUAAUGCACUUUUCAGUUUAACAAGUCAACAUCAGUUUCUUUUGCUGUAAAAAGGUCAUUGAGGAAGGUGGCUUGAUAUUCGGCUGAAAGUGUUUAUAGCCUCUUGACCCUAUGCAAGUCGGAGAGAUUGAGGUCUGCAGCGUAGAUCCUUCGGGGCUAGAUACAUUUGUGCUAAGUUAUAGCAUUUUAUAGACAACUUGUUGACUAUGAUUUAGUCUUGUAGCUUACUCGCUUAUGUUAUUUUACCUACGCUUAGGAUGUUGAUGUGAUACUGCGAGCA